UACGGAGGGUGCGAGCGUUGUCCGGAAUCACUGGGCGUAAAGGGCGCGUAGGUGGCGCUCCAAGUCCAUGGUGAAAGCUCGAUGCUCAACAUCGAGUCGGCCACGGAUACUGGAGGGCUGGAGCACUGUAGGGGCAGAUGGAAUUCCGGGUGUAGCGGUGGAAUGCGUAGAGAUCCGGAAGAACACCGGUGGCGAAGGCGGUCUGCUGGGCAGUUGCUGACACUGAGGCGCGACAGCGUGGGGAGCAAACAGG
This 253-nucleotide ribosomal RNA is filed under the name uncultured bacterium. RNAcentral's name for it is "partial 16S ribosomal RNA". It matches the Rfam family "Bacterial small subunit ribosomal RNA", at positions 524 to 776 of the family's 1533-position model. The record is from RNAcentral.